Molecule: transfer RNA, 79 nt
Filed under: Muribaculaceae bacterium
Lineage: Bacteria; Pseudomonadati; Bacteroidota; Bacteroidia; Bacteroidales; Muribaculaceae
Description: tRNA-His
Source: RNAcentral
AGCUCAGUUGGUUAGAGCGACGGAUUGUGGUUCCGUAGGUCGUGGGCUUUAUAUUAUACACAUCUGACGCUGCCGACCA